Long non-coding RNA from Triticum dicoccoides, 409 nucleotides. RefSeq lists it as uncharacterized. The transcript is spliced from 3 exons. NCBI's taxonomy places the organism in Eukaryota, Viridiplantae, Streptophyta, Magnoliopsida, Poales, Poaceae. The record is from RefSeq and is a predicted model, not a curated record.
GGACCCUCACCUUCCUUCCUAUCCAAAGGAAGGGAAGGGAAGGGGAGGGGAUGCCCCAGAUCCAGCAGAGCGACGCCCAAAUCCGCAGCGGCACCGGCACCGGCGCGCCAUUGUCCACCUGGUCCUCGAGGAAGGUCAUGGAUGGAUGGGGGCGGAACCCUAGCCCCACACCCACCCAUGGAUGACGACGGCGGCGGCCUUCUCUAGGUGGGAUGGGGAGCGAAGCUUCCUGAUGCAGUGCCCUCAACGCCCGCGACGGGCUGCAGCACCUAGACUUGAAAGAAUACAUGUCAUCGCUUCUUCAAGUGAAGGUCGUCCUAGUGAAUGGUGUCCCUUGUUUAACAUCAUCCGGGUGCAGGCCACAUAUUCGGUGCAUCUAGCACGCAUAACCGGUCCAUCGCUAUGCCUA